This 464-nucleotide ribosomal RNA is filed under the name uncultured Schwartzia sp. Its description in RNAcentral is "bacterial SSU rRNA". It matches the Rfam family "Bacterial small subunit ribosomal RNA", at positions 338 to 795 of the family's 1533-position model. The record is from RNAcentral. Lineage: Bacteria; Bacillati; Bacillota; Negativicutes; Selenomonadales; Selenomonadaceae.
CCUACGGGUGGCAGCAGUGGGGAAUCUUCCGCAAUGGGCGAAAGCCUGACGGAGCAACGCCGCGUGAGUGAAGAAGGUCUUCGGAUCGUAAAGCUCUGUUGUUGGGGACGAAAGGGAAGGGGAGGAAAUGCCCUUUUUAAGACGGUACCCGACGAGCAAGCCACGGCUAACUACGUGCCAGCAGCCGCGGUAAUACGUAGGUGGCGAGCGUUGUCCGGAAUGAUUGGGCGUAAAGGGAGCGCAGGUGGGACGGUAAGUCCUUCUUAAAAGCGUGGGGCUCAGCCCCAUGAAGGGAAGGAAACUAUCGAUCUUGAGUGCCGGAGAGGAAAGCGGAAUUCCCAGUGUAGCGGUGAAAUGCGUAGAUAUUGGGAAGAACACCAGUGGCGAAGGCGGCUUUCUGGACGGCAACUGACACUGAGGCUCGAAAGCCAGGGGAGCGAACGGGAUUAGAUACCCGGGUAGUC